Podarcis lilfordi (Lilford's wall lizard) is the source of this 79-nucleotide non-coding RNA. Lineage: Eukaryota; Metazoa; Chordata; Lepidosauria; Squamata; Lacertidae. The record is from the annotation of a GenBank genome assembly.
UGCAAGUGGAUAUAACUCAGUCGGUAGAGCAUGAGAUUCUUAAUCUCAGGGUUGUGAGUUUGAGCCCUACAUUGGGCAA